This 497-nucleotide ribosomal RNA is filed under the name uncultured bacterium. RNAcentral describes it as "partial 16S ribosomal RNA". It matches the Rfam family "Bacterial small subunit ribosomal RNA", at positions 28 to 507 of the family's 1533-position model. The record is from RNAcentral.
GAUGAACGCUGGCGGCGUGCCUAAUACAUGCAAGUCGAACGGACAGACGAGGCGCUUGCUCCUCUGACGUUUGCGGCGGACGGGUGAGUAACACGUGGAUAACCUACCUAUAAGACUGGGAUAACUUCGGGAAACCGGAGCUUAUACCGGAUAAUAUCUUGAAACGCAUUGUUCAAUAGUGAAAUACGGCUUUGCUGUCACUUAUAGAUGGAUCCGCGCCGCAUUAGCUAGUUGGUAAGGUAACGGGUUACCAAGGCAACGAUGCGUAGCCGACCUGAGAGGGUGAUCGGCCACACUGGAACUGAGACACGGUCCAGACUCCUACGGGAGGCAGCAGUAGGGAAUCUUCCGCAAUGGGCGAAAGCCUGACGGAGCAACGCCGCGUGAGUGAUGAAGGUCUUCGGAUCGUAAAACUCUGUUAUUAGGGAAGAACAAAUGUGUAAGUAACUAUGCACGUCUUGACGGUACCUAAUCAGAAAGCCACGGCUAACUACGUG